This 252-nucleotide ribosomal RNA is filed under the name uncultured Bacteroidales bacterium. Its description in RNAcentral is "partial 16S ribosomal RNA". It matches the Rfam family "Bacterial small subunit ribosomal RNA", at positions 524 to 776 of the family's 1533-position model. The record is from RNAcentral. Lineage: Bacteria; Pseudomonadati; Bacteroidota; Bacteroidia; Bacteroidales.
UACGGAGGAUGCGAGCGUUAUCCGGAUUUAUUGGGUUUAAAGGGUGCGUAGGCGGGCUGUUAAGUCAGCGGUCAAAUGUCGGGGCUCAACCCCGGCCUGCCGUUGAAACUGGCGGCCUCGAGUGGGCGAGAAGUAUGCGGAAUGCGUGGUGUAGCGGUGAAAUGCGUAGAUAUCAGGAGGAACACCAGUGGCGAAGGCGGCUUACUGGACUGUAACUGACGUUGAGGCGCGAAAGCGUGGGGAGCAAACAGG